RNAcentral lists this ribosomal RNA (490 nucleotides) under uncultured bacterium. RNAcentral's name for it is "partial 16S ribosomal RNA". It matches the Rfam family "Bacterial small subunit ribosomal RNA", at positions 30 to 507 of the family's 1533-position model. The record is from RNAcentral.
AUUGAACGCUGGCGGCAGGCCUAACACAUGCAAGUCGAACGGUAACAGAAAGCAGCUUGCUGCUUUGCUGACGAGUGGCGGACGGGUGAGUAAUGUCUGGGAAACUGCUUGAUGGAGGGGGAUAACUACUGGAAACGGUAGCUAAUACCGCAUAACGUCGCAAGACCAAAGAGGGGGACUUUCGGGCCUCUUGCCAUCGGAUGUGCCCAGAUGGGAUUAGCUAGUAGGUGGGGUAAAGGCUCACCUAGGCGACGAUCCCUAGCUGGUCUGAGAGGGUGACCAGCCACACUGGAACUGAGACACGGUCCAGACUCCUACGGGAGGCAGCAGUGGGGAAUAUUGCACAAUGGGCGCAAGCCUGAUGCAGCCAUGCCGCGUGUAUGAAGAAGGCCUUCGGGUUGUAAAGUACUUUCAGCGGGGAGGAAGGGAGUAAAGUUAAUACCUUUGCUCAUUGACGUUACCCGCAGAAGAAGCACCGGCUAACUCCGUG